UCAAGCUGUAAAGGGCGCAAGGGGAAUGCCUUGGCACUGAGAGCCGAUGAAGGACGCGACAAGCUGCGAUAAGCUACGGGGAGCCGCAAAUGGGCUUUGAUCCGUAGAUUUCCGAAUGGGGAAACCCGGCAGAGCAAUACUCUGUCAACGUACACUGAAUACAUAGGUGUACGUGGGGAACCGCCUGAACUGAAACAUCUAAGUAGGGCGAGGAAGAGAAAUCAACCGAGAUUCCGCUAGUAGUGGCGAGCGAACGCGGAAGAGGCCAAACCGAAGGUAGCAAUAUCUUCGGGGUUAGGACUGCAAUAUGUAGCUUUCAUUUUUAACCGAAUGCUUUGGGAAGAGCAGCGACACAGGGUGAUAGCCCCGUAGGUGAAAAGAAUGGAGUGCUAGCAGUAUCCAGAGUACCAGCGGACACGUGAAACCCGCUGGGAAGAUGGGGGGACCAUCCUCCAAGCCUAAAUACUACUCAGUGACCGAUAGUGGAGCAGUACCGUGAGGGAAAGGUGAAAAGUACCCCGGGAGGGGAGUGAAAGAGAACCUGAAACCUUGUGCCUACAAGCACCGAGAGCACGUUAAAGUGUGAUCGGGUACUUUUUGUAGAACGGUCCGGCGAGUUAAUAUUUGCAGCGAGGUUAAGUAACUGGAGUUACGGAGCCGCAGCGAGAGCGAGUCUGAAUAGGGCGUAUGAAGUUGCAGGUAUUAGACCCGAAACCGGGUGACCUAUCCAUGAGCAGGCUGAAGCGGUGGUAAGACACCGUGGAGGGCCGCACCCACGUCUGUUGAAAAAGCCGGGGAUGACUUGUGGAUAGCGGAGAAAUUCCAAUCGAACUCGGAGAUAGCUGGUUCUCCCCGAAAUAGCUUUAGGGCUAGCGUUAUUUUAGAUUACCGGAGGUAAAGCACUGAAUGGUCUAGGGGCCGCGAGGUUACCAAAGCCUAUCAAACUCUGAAUGCCGGAUAAUUGAUGAAUAGCAGUCAGACUGUGUGAGAUAAGUCUCAUAGUCAAAAGGGAAACAGCCCAGAUCUACAGCUAAGGUCCCAAAUGAACACUAAGUGGAAAAUGAUGUGAAACUGCGAAGACAACCAGGAUGUUGGCUUAGAAGCAGCCACUCAUUCAAAGAGUGCGUAAUAGCUCACUGGUCGAGUGGUUUUGCGCAGAAAAUGUAACGGGGCUAAGUGUUCAACCGAAGCUUAGGCAUUGCAGUAAUGCAUUGGGUAGGGGAGCGUCGUAUGCGGGGCGAAGUCAGAGCGGAAGCACUGGUGGACUGCAUACGAGUGAGAAUGCCGGAAUAAGUAGCGAGAAUUAUGUGAGAAUCAUAAUGGCCGAAAAUCUAAGGUUUCCUGGGGAAGGUUCGUCCGCCCAGGGUUAGUCGGGAGCUAAGCUCAGGCCGAAAGGCGUAGGCGAUGCACAUACGGUAGAAAUUCCGUAACCACCGAACUUUAAGCUAGAGGGACGCUUUCUUUAAGGUUAUCCCGGGCGAUGGUUGCCCCGGGCGUAAGGGACCGAAAUAUAGUAGGGAAGUAACUGGCGAGAGAGACGAGAAAAGCUCUAGUGUAUACUAAGGUGCCCGUACCGCAAACCGACACAGGUAGAAGGGAUGAGUAUUCUAAGGCCAACGGGAGAAGGGUUGUUAAGGAACUCGGCAAAUUGGCCCCGUAACUUCGGGAUAAGGGGCGCCUGCGAGAGCAGGCCGCAGUGAAAAGGCCCAAGCGACUGUUUAGCAAAAACACAGCUCUCUGCUAAAUCGAAAGAUGACGUAUAGGGGGUGACGCCUGCCCGGUGCUGGAAGGUUAAGGGGAGUGCUUAGCGCAAGCGAAGGUGCGAACUUAAGCCCCAGUAAACGGCGGCCGUAACUAUAACGGUCCUAAGGUAGCGAAAUUCCUUGUCAGGUAAGUUCUGACCCGC
This 1906-nucleotide ribosomal RNA is filed under the name human gut metagenome. Its description in RNAcentral is "bacterial LSU rRNA". It matches the Rfam family "Bacterial large subunit ribosomal RNA", at positions 3 to 1991 of the family's 2925-position model. The record is from RNAcentral.